GAUGAGCGCUGGCGGCGUGCUUAACACAUGCAAGUCGAACGGAAAGGCCCAAGCUUGCUUGGGUGCUCGAGUGGCGAACGGGUGAGUAACACGUGGGUGAUCUGCCCUGCACUUCGGGAUAAGCCUGGGAAACUGGGUCUAAUACCGGAUAGGACGAUGUUUUGGAUGCCAUUGUGGAAAGUUUUUUCGGUGUGGGAUGAGCUCGCGGCCUAUCUGCUUGUUGGUGGGGUAAUGGCCUACCAAGGCGUCGACGGGUAGCCGGCCUGAGAGGGUGUACGGGGACAUUGGGAGUGAGAGACGGCGCAGAGACUUACGGGAGGCGGAAGUGGGGAAUAUAGCACAAUGGGGGCAAGACUGAUGCAGCGAAGCCGCGUGGGGGAUAACGGCGUUCGGGUGGUAAACUCCUUUCGCGAGGGAGGAAGAGUGUGUGUGACGGUAACUGGUAAAGAAGCACCGGCUAACUACGUG
RNAcentral lists this ribosomal RNA (468 nucleotides) under uncultured bacterium. RNAcentral describes it as "partial 16S ribosomal RNA". It matches the Rfam family "Bacterial small subunit ribosomal RNA", at positions 28 to 507 of the family's 1533-position model. The record is from RNAcentral.